ACAAACUUGGUCAUUUAGAGGAAGUAAAAGUCGUAACAAGGUAACCGUAGGUGAACCUGCGGUUGGAUCAUUACAGUAUUUGCUGUCGCUGGACCAGUGUGUGUGGGUUGCCCACAUGAGAGGUGGGAUGUGCUGGACCAGGAAUCUCCUGGAGCAAGUCCCACCUGUCAUGUGUGCCCCAUUCCACUAUUGCCGCCGGCAGCCAAUUUCCAACCUCGUGUGCAUUGUGAUGUCUCUGGCGGUGGGAUGUUGGGCUGGGUGUUAACUUACACCCAGCCGCAUCUGUCAGCUUGAUGGUUUCGAAUCAUCAAGCCGUGGACAUGCCGCCAACCACUAGUGUCAAGCAUCUGAACCAAACCCUUUCGUCUCAUUGUGCACUUUAUGUGAAAACACAAACAACUUUUGGCAACGGAUCUCUUGGCUCUCGCAUCGAUGAAGAACGCAGC
RNAcentral lists this unclassified non-coding RNA (446 nucleotides) under uncultured fungus. Its description in RNAcentral is "partial contains small subunit ribosomal RNA, internal transcribed spacer 1, and 5.8S ribosomal RNA". The stretch from base 1 to 73 matches the Rfam family "Eukaryotic small subunit ribosomal RNA", at positions 1759 to 1831 of the family's 1831-position model. Lineage: Eukaryota; Fungi. The record is from RNAcentral.